UACGUAGGUGGCAAGCGUUAUCCGGAUUUAUUGGUCGUAAAGGGAACGCAGGCGGUCUUUUAAGUCUGAUGUGAAAGCCUUCGGCUUAACCGGAGUAGUGCAUUGGAAACUGGGAGACUUGAGUGCAGAAGAGGAGAGUGGAACUCCAUGUGUAGCGGUGAAAUGCGUAGAUAUAUGGAAGAACACCAGUGGCGAAGGCGGAUGACUGGACGGCAACUGACGGUGAGGCGCGAAAGCGUGGGGAGCAAACAGG
Molecule: ribosomal RNA, 253 nt
Filed under: uncultured bacterium
Lineage: Bacteria
Description: partial 16S ribosomal RNA
Rfam family: Bacterial small subunit ribosomal RNA
Source: RNAcentral